Molecule: ribosomal RNA, 451 nt
Filed under: uncultured bacterium
Lineage: Bacteria
Description: partial 16S ribosomal RNA
Rfam family: Bacterial small subunit ribosomal RNA
Source: RNAcentral
AACGAACGCUGGCGGCAUGCCUAACACAUGCAAGUCGAACGGACUGCUUCGGCAGUCAGUGGCGGACGGGUGAGUAACGCGUGGGAAUCUGCCCUGGGGUACGGAACAACGCCGGGAAACUGGCGCUAAUACCGUAUACGGCUUAGGAGCGAAAGAUUUAUCGCCCUGGGAUGAGCCCGCGUCGGAUUAGGUAGUUGGUGGGGUAAAAGCCUACCAAGCCUUCGAUCCGUAGCUGGUCUGAGAGGAUGAUCAGCCACACUGGGACUGAGACACGGCCCAGACUCCUACGGGAGGCAGCAGUGGGGAAUAUUGGACAAUGGGCGAAAGCCUGAUCCAGCAAUGCCGCGUGAGUGAUGAAGGCCUUAGGGUUGUAAAGCUCUUUUACCCGGGAUGAUAAUGACAGUACCGGGAGAAUAAGCCCCGGCUAACUCCGUGCCAGCCGCCGCAGUAA